Molecule: ribosomal RNA, 238 nt
Filed under: Ovis aries (sheep)
Lineage: Eukaryota; Metazoa; Chordata; Mammalia; Artiodactyla; Bovidae
Description: partial 12S ribosomal RNA
Rfam family: Bacterial large subunit ribosomal RNA
Source: RNAcentral
AAAAACUUAACAAAACGAAUUUUAGCUAAGUAACCCGAAACCAGACGAGCUACUCAUGGACAGUUUAUUAGAACCAACUCAUCUAUGUGGCAAAAUAGUGAGAAGAUCCAUAAGUAGAGGUGACAUGCCUAACGAGCCUGGUGAUAGCUGGUUGUCCAGAAAAUGAAUUUUAGUUCAGCUUUAAAGAUACCAAAAAUACAAAUAAAUCCCACUGUAUCUUUAAAAGUUAGUCUCAAAA